RNAcentral lists this small RNA (29 nucleotides) under Bombyx mori (domestic silkworm). RNAcentral's name for it is "ovarian small RNA-23893". The record is from RNAcentral. Lineage: Eukaryota; Metazoa; Arthropoda; Insecta; Lepidoptera; Bombycidae.
UAUGAGUCCCAGGCUUGCCUGCCGGGGGC